GACGUUGCACGUUACCACGCCG
Molecule: microRNA, 22 nt
Filed under: Apis mellifera (honey bee)
Lineage: Eukaryota; Metazoa; Arthropoda; Insecta; Hymenoptera; Apidae
Description: ame-miR-6061-3p
Source: miRBase by way of RNAcentral